Molecule: long non-coding RNA, 389 nt
Organism: Hyalella azteca
Lineage: Eukaryota; Metazoa; Arthropoda; Malacostraca; Amphipoda; Hyalellidae
Exons: 3
Source: RefSeq, a predicted model, not a curated record
UUUAUAAUUUUGCUCAACAAAACUGGUGAAAAUUCGAUCCGUUUUGUUUUUAUUUAGUUCAGUGAAUGUCAAAUUUUUAUAGAGAGGGAGAAACUCGAUCGAAUUUUUAUAGAAUUCGACAAGAAAUUUGAAUUGUCUUAAGGACAUUAUCUGAACGAUGGCAAUUCAUUAAGAUACGAAAAGACACACUCGUGGAUAUUCAAGAAAUUGAAGAAGAGGAAAUUUAAGGACUGAAAAUUAGACCACGAGAUGUACGACUACUACGAGGGGGCGAAAGGCAGCAACUACUACCUGACGCAACUACAACAACAACAGGCCAGACAUCGCUCGCCUUACUCCCCAGACCGCGUCGGGGACCCCGGGGGUGGUGGGGCAGGGGGGUACGGGUC